AGAGGGCAGGGUGGGAAGAGAGUGAUAGGAGGGAAGCAGAGGCCUGAGGAGGCAGCGGGGGAGCCUGGGACACUGCCCGGUGCCUAUCUGCUGGGACCUGUACUUCUCUGUUGUCAAUCACAAUCAGGCUAUUUCAAGGAACGAGCUAGUGCAUUUCUGUACUUAUCCCCCACGCCCAUGUUCACCUCAUGCAACCCGAGUUCGUUGUCCACAGAGGAAGGAAAGUGAAAGAAAACUUUGAGGAAAGAAGAUGGAGUGGGUAGAGGCUUCCCGCUGCCCUAACCUUCCCCAACACCCCCAGGCAAGGGCGAUGAAACGGGGUUGAACGUCCUGUACUGUCACGAAGAUGUAGAAGAUAGAUACAGGGGCUGGUUCAUGGCCUUCCUCCGGGUAGCUCUUGUCUUCACGACAAUCCAGACAAUACUCCAGAACGACCCCGGGGAGCAGGUGUGUCUCUGCUAAGAGAGGUGGACGGCAUCAGAGGCCUGUGAGCUCCAUUCGACACCUCAUGUGGACAGGACUGCUCCUCUGUUAUGGAACCGUCAAAAGAGAACUGAAGCUGUUAGCAAAGGCCAGCACACAAUUAAGGAUUAUCUCCAAUUGGCCACAUGGCUGUCCAUUUGGGAAAGAGAUCCUUGAAGCCCAGUAAAUCACCAGAUGAUGGUAUCCCUGGAUAUCUACUGAAACUUCCUGAGAAACUCUGAGCAAGAGGCACUGAGCCACUAAGCUCAGAGUCCUGACACUUAGAAGGAUCCCCUAAAGAUGCCUCCACCCACAAACAGCAGGAAGCAAUUUUAAGAACACAAUGCCCACAUUCCCAAGAGGUGAGGCAGGUGGUUUAUGGCCUUUUAAUGGGUUUGGGUUUGGGAUAACUGUCAUUGUUUAGGAUUGUUGGUUACAAGUUGUUAUUGUUAACAGUCAGGAAAGAGGCUAA
Long non-coding RNA from Peromyscus maniculatus bairdii (prairie deer mouse), 934 nucleotides. RefSeq lists it as uncharacterized. Lineage: Eukaryota; Metazoa; Chordata; Mammalia; Rodentia; Cricetidae. The record is from RefSeq and is a predicted model, not a curated record.